This 365-nucleotide ribosomal RNA is filed under the name uncultured bacterium. Its description in RNAcentral is "bacterial SSU rRNA". It matches the Rfam family "Bacterial small subunit ribosomal RNA", at positions 147 to 507 of the family's 1533-position model. The record is from RNAcentral.
CCUUCCGAAAGGGAGAUUAAUACAUGAUGGUGUUGAAAUUACCGCAUGUUAUUUCAACUAAAGAUUUAUCGGUAACGGAUGGGGAGUGCGUGACAUUAGAUAGAUGGCGGGGUAACGGCCCACCUAGCCGACGAUGGAUAGGGGGUUCUGAGAGGAAGGUCCCCCACACUGGAACUGAGACACGGUCCAGACUCCUACGGGAGGCAGCAGUGAGGAAUAUUGGUCAAUGGGCGCAAGCCUGAACCAGCCAAGUAGCGUGAAGGAAGACUGCCCUAUGGGUUGUAAACUUCUUUUAUACGGGAACAAACCCCGGUACGUGUACCGGAUUGCGUGUACCGUAUGAAUAAGCAUCGGCUAACUCCGUG